GACGAACGCUGGCGGCGUGCUUAACACAUGCAAGUCGAACGGGCUUCUGGGGUUCUGGCUUUUUUGGUUGGGGUUCUGGGGGUUAGUGGCGAACGGGUGAGUAACACGUGAGUAACCUGCCCUUCACUUCUGGAUAACCGCUUGAAAGGGCGGCUAAUACGGGAUGUUUCUGGGUCUGUCGCAUGGCGGGUUCGGGAAAGAUGGCACUGUUUGGUGUUUUUGGUGGGGGAUGGGCUCGCGGCCUAUCAGCUUGUUGGUGGGAUGAUGGCCUGCCAAGGCUUUGGGGGGUAGCCGGCAUGAGAGGGUGGGCGGUCACGAUGGGACUGAGAGACGGCCAAGACUCCUACGGGAGGCAGCAGGGGGGAAUAUUGCACAGUGGGCGGAAGCCUGAUGCAGCGCCGUCGCGUGAGGGAUGGAGGCCUUCGGGUUGUGAACCUCUUUCGCCAGUGAGGAAGGCCUGGCCCGUGUGGUGGGGUUGACGGGAGCUGGGUUAAUUGAGGCGCCGGCAAACUACGU
This 516-nucleotide ribosomal RNA is filed under the name uncultured bacterium. Its description in RNAcentral is "partial 16S ribosomal RNA". It matches the Rfam family "Bacterial small subunit ribosomal RNA", at positions 28 to 506 of the family's 1533-position model. The record is from RNAcentral.